GGUUCCGUAGUGUAGUAGAUAUCACGUUCGCUUCACACGCGAAAGAUCUUCGGUUCAAUCCGGGGACGGAACCA
This is a non-coding RNA of Trichonephila clavipes, 74 nucleotides long. Lineage: Eukaryota; Metazoa; Arthropoda; Arachnida; Araneae; Nephilidae. The record is from the annotation of a GenBank genome assembly.